UCCGUGUUAACCACGGCAGUCUCCUUAGAGAGCCCAACUAAAUGCUGGCAACUAAGGACAAGGGUUGCGCUCGUUGCGGGACUUAACCCAACAGGUCACCCCACGAGCUGACGACAGCCAUGCAGCACCUGUCACUUGGUCGUAUUACUACGAAAGCUCUAUCUCUAGAGCGGUCCAAGGAUGUCAAACCCAGGUAAGGUUCUUCGCGUUGCUUCGAAUUAAACCACAUGAUCCACCGCUUGUGCGGGCCCCCGUCAAUUCCUUUGAGUUUUAGUCUUGCGACCGUACUUCCCAGGCGGGGUACUUAUUGCGUUAGCGCCGGUUCAGCAGGGGUCAAGACCCACUAAACCUAGUACCCAUCGUUUACGGCGUGGACUAC
RNAcentral lists this unclassified non-coding RNA (379 nucleotides) under uncultured Oligoflexales bacterium. Its description in RNAcentral is "contains 16S-23S intergenic spacer region". The record is from RNAcentral. Lineage: Bacteria; Pseudomonadati; Bdellovibrionota; Oligoflexia; Oligoflexales.